CCCUACGGGACGCAGCAGUGGGGGAUAUUGCACAAUGGGGGAAACCCUGAUGCAGCGACGCCGCGUGAGUGAAGGAGUAUUUCGGUACGUAAAGCUCUAUCAGCAGGGAAGAAUAAUGACGGUACCUGACUAAGAAGCCCCGGCUAACUACGUGCCAGCAGCCGCGGUAAUACGUAGGGGGCAGGCGUUAUCCGGAUUUACUGGGUGUAAAGGGAGCGUAGACGGUGCGCCAAGUCUGGAGUGAAAUGCCGCAGCUUAACUGCGGAACUGCUUUGGAAACUGGCGAACUAGAGUGCGGGAGGGGG
This 305-nucleotide ribosomal RNA is filed under the name uncultured bacterium. RNAcentral describes it as "bacterial SSU rRNA". It matches the Rfam family "Bacterial small subunit ribosomal RNA", at positions 337 to 658 of the family's 1533-position model. The record is from RNAcentral.